Molecule: ribosomal RNA, 448 nt
Filed under: uncultured bacterium
Lineage: Bacteria
Description: partial 16S ribosomal RNA
Rfam family: Bacterial small subunit ribosomal RNA
Source: RNAcentral
AGCGAACGCUGGCGGCAGGCCUAACACAUGCAAGUCGAACGAAGUCUUCGGACUUAGUGGCGGACGGGUGAGUAACACGUGGGAACGUGCCUUAGGUUCGGAAUAACUCAGGGAAACUUGUGCUAAUACCGAAUGUGCCCUUCGGGGGAAAGAUUUAUCGCCUUUAGAGCGGCCCGCGUCUGAUUAGCUAGUUGGUGAGGUAAAGGCUCACCAAGGCGACGAUCAGUAGCUGGUCUGAGAGGAUGAUCAGCCACAUUGGGACUGAGACACGGCCCAAACUCCUACGGGAGGCAGCAGUGGGGAAUUUUGCGCAAUGGGCGAAAGCCUGACGCAGCCAUGCCGCGUGAAUGAUGAAGGUCUUAGGAUUGUAAAAUUCUUUCACCGGGGACGAUAAUGACGGUACCCGGAGAAGAAGCCCCGGCUAACUUCGUGCCAGCCGCCGCAGUAA